UUUUAUGAGAGUUUGAUCCUGGCUCAGGACGAACGCUGGCGGCGUGCCUAAUACAUGCAAGUAGAACGCUGGAGUCUGGUGCUUGCACUAGACGGAUGAGUUGCGAACGGGUGAGUAACGCGUAGGUAACCUGCCUCAUAGCGGGGGAUAACUAUUGGAAACGAUAGCUAAUACCGCAUAACAGUAUUUACCGCAUGGU
This 199-nucleotide ribosomal RNA is filed under the name Streptococcus suis. RNAcentral describes it as "partial 16S ribosomal RNA". It matches the Rfam family "Bacterial small subunit ribosomal RNA", at positions 1 to 194 of the family's 1533-position model. The record is from RNAcentral. Lineage: Bacteria; Bacillati; Bacillota; Bacilli; Lactobacillales; Streptococcaceae.